CUUCCUCUCUUCUUUGAUUUGAAACAAGGUUGGAGGGGCGUAAUGCACACCGCAUUACACAGAGUUUCCACAUGGGUGCUUGGUAGCAUGAGGCCUGAUUAGAGGCCUAAGUGAGCUCUAAAAAUAAGCUGAACCCUUCGCAGAAUCGUGCGCGUUGGGUUUCUGCAGGACAUGCAAUGAAGACACCUGUGCUGAGGAUUUCUUGUCAAGCAGGUCUGCACGCUGUGGCGAGAAAAGAAAAUCCUUGCCCCUACAGGAUGUCGAACACAAGGCUUUCACCCCGUAAUCACAUACUACACUGACUGAGCUAUCCAGGCCCGUAUAUUCUGGUAACUAGAGCUACACAAGUGACUGAUCUAGUGCUACUGAAGAAUCCGUAUAACCUAUAUUCUGGAAACUGUUGGAACAAUUUGUGAACGGUAGGAGGGUCUACUUUGUUAACCCCUGAUGCUCUGAACUCAAAUUGUGAAGUACAUGACAUUUAUGUUUAGUCACAUUAUAGCACAUACAUGUUUGAAACCCGUGACACACAACAUUCAUAUAUUUCCUUAUACGGCAGUUUGGAGUUUCAGCUACUGUCACACGAUUUUAUCACAAGUUGGAGUAGGUAUAUGAAGUAAAGGAGAUGAGAUGGACGGAGCAUAUAGAGCGCAGAAAUUACCCAUCUUUCUCUUAACUUACAGGGCAUCCACUUACGACAUUACGGACUUGACCACAGCUAGCCUAGUGUUCGGGAGAGAACUCCGACUGCCCUGCGAACUCCUCUUUGGGGCACACCCCAUUGAAGAACGACUCACAAUCGAUAACUUUAGUCGAUCGUCUACACGACAUCCACAACUAUGGCCCCCAACACCUGAGGCUGGCCGGUGACCGGAUGAAAACUUGUUGCGACAGACUAGUCAACUGCGCGGGCAACCACAAAGGCGACAAAGUGUGGCUCUGUCACUUACUCGCACGAAGAUGAAAUCGCCUAAGCUCCAAUCCUCAUUGGAGGGCCCAUACAAGGUACUCACCCGGAUAAAUGAUGUGAUAUACAGGAUCCAGCGGAACCCUAGAUCAAGGUUGAUAGUGGUACACCUGGACCGGCUCGCAUCUUAUCGGGUAGCCGCUCGAGACGAACGGCCUUAAGAAAGCAGAGGAAGCAUUUGGAGAGUAAACACCAUGUAAAGUCCAGCCCAGGACGAAUAGCGUUAAAGAAGGAGCACUGGGGCGUAUAGUUCAUUGCUAAGUGUUGACUUUGUUAACACCCGCAACAUGCACGCAAAAUAGUUGAACGGUGUUUUAUGUGGUCCGUGGCCCUUUCUGAGCAUGGGCUCGGUAAACACAUUCUCGCGGCAACGGACACGAAGACAAAACAGAAGAACGGUGCUAUCUGUAUGGUACGUGCUGAGAUGUUAUAAGAAAGGGGCGAAGUUAGUUGCUAGUUGAGUUCUGUACGGGAGACUGUGAAGCAAAUAGUUAGUUGCAAGAGUGCUCUGUAGAAAGUCUGGCUGUGAAGAGAAGAAUUUAUAUGUGAUAUUUGUCAUGUGUAAUUUAAUGAGAAUGUUGUAGUUCCUGUGGUAAAAUUCGUUGCGAGGAAACGGCUAGAGGAGACUGUAAUAGACUGAAGACACUAGUCUGUGUGUGUCAGUGACCUGUAAAGUGUAGCCACGAGUAGUGUGGAUAAAAAUGGCCAAUCCGAACGCCGUCUCUAGUCACACAUACACAUGACAGUAGAUACAAAAUUGAAAGAUUUACGUGUAGGGAAGCAGAUAAUAUUACAACUGAUCUUACUUUAAUAGUGUGUAAGGAUACUGGUUUGAUUCAUUUGGCCGAGGGUAGAGUCUAUGGCAGGCUGUUAUUAGCAUGAUACUGAACCUCAGGGUUUCAUGAAGGGCAGAAAUUUUGUGACAUGUUUUCAGCAAAGACUUAAUCUAUGGAUUUUUUUUUAUUUCUAGUAAGGUGGGAUUAAGUCCCUUGUACUGCGGCCACUUCUGGCCUAUUGUACC
Molecule: long non-coding RNA, 1988 nt
Organism: Cryptotermes secundus
Lineage: Eukaryota; Metazoa; Arthropoda; Insecta; Blattodea; Kalotermitidae
Exons: 3
Source: RefSeq, a predicted model, not a curated record